This 253-nucleotide ribosomal RNA is filed under the name uncultured bacterium. RNAcentral describes it as "partial 16S ribosomal RNA". It matches the Rfam family "Bacterial small subunit ribosomal RNA", at positions 524 to 776 of the family's 1533-position model. The record is from RNAcentral.
UACGGGGGGAGCAAGCGUUGUUCGGAAUCACUGGGCGUAAAGGGAGUCUAGGCGGUUUGGUAAGUGGGAUGUGAAAUGCCCGGGCUCACCCCGGGACCUGCAUCCCAAACUGCUGAGCUUGAGUACAGGAGAGGGUGGGGGAAUUCCAGGUGUAGCGGUGAAAUGCGUAGAUAUCUGGAGGAACACCGGUGGUGUAGACGGCUUUCUGGACCGUAACUGACGCUGAGACACGAAAGCGUGGGUAGCAAACAGG